CCUGGAGUGCUGGCGGGAGUGGAUUCCUGGUAGAGGGGACAGCAGAACCUUCCAUGUCCCCCCACCGCUGUGUGGACCAUGAUUGAACACUUCCCACGCCAGGUCCCAUUUGACCCUGAAACAGUCACACAAGGUGAGGAAAACGAGGCUCGGGGAGGGGAGCGACUCCCAGAGGCACGAGUGGAUGGAAGGCGCCGGGGGCCGGUCACGCUGUGCGGCUGCAGUGUUGUGAGUGUCCCAGUGCCGGCAGAGGCGGCAGUCAGCCAUGCCAGGCGGGGAGUGGGCCACGGGAUCAGGCGAAGUCAUGAAGAGUGGACGAGGAAACAACAGAAUAGGCCACCUAAGCGACUGGUGCCAGCCUCCCCCAGCGAAGGGAAGAUGGGGACUUCCAAAAACGGGGCAUCCUGAGUCACCCCUCCGGUAUCGCUGCAUUUCCAAGCAUCCGAAGGCUGCCUUUGAACCUUUGAGGGGAGCACAGGCAGAGCAGGAGGUGCAGGGGGACCCCAGGGGCCACCCGACCUGUGAUGAAGGCGUGGGAAGCGCCUGUCGGAGGAGGCUCGGGGACCUGCUCAUCUCAGGGUCGCCCAUCUGCUGCCGUCACCGCAGAACCCAGAGUGUGGCGCCGGGUCUCCACCUCCAUCCUCAUCCUCCAACUCUUCGCCACUCAGCCCCACGCAGAAUGACCGGGCCACUACUGCGCUCUGUAGCCUUCAGUGGCUCCCUGUUGCCACCGUUCACUGUUGUGAAGCUCUAAGGCAUGGGCUUCGGGCGUCGGAUCCUGGCUCAGUGGAUGUCUUAGCUGAGAGCCCUGGACGAGUUUCUUA
Molecule: long non-coding RNA, 824 nt
Filed under: Equus asinus (donkey)
Lineage: Eukaryota; Metazoa; Chordata; Mammalia; Perissodactyla; Equidae
Description: lncRNA (ENSEASG00005028864.1)
Source: RNAcentral